UACUUUACCCUUACAAAAUACACAGCAGUAUGUGUACGUUUAGUACUGAACUGUUGACCCGGAACGGUGAAAAGACAACAAAAAAGUUGUCUGACGAGCCGCAUCAAUUUCUAUACCCUAAGCCACAAACAAGAUGAACUCUGCAGCGAAAAUAACAUUUUUUAACCACCUGUUUGCUGUGCUUUGGAUGCUUCUAGCGCUGGCUCGGACAACAUGGGGUGAAGACUCCUUUGCUGACCCCAGCAUCAUGCGUCCCCCCGGGUUGGACAGUGUGGGGCUGAACGUUGUGGUCGGGUCGUCCGUGUGUUUGGGGGUCGUCGUCAUCGGGGUGAUGGCCGCCAUCUUCUACCACCUGGUCACCAAAUAACGCAGGAGUGAAUUUCGUCUUCCUUGAACACCAGAACAGUGCUCAAACAUCGCAGAAGAGAGAAAACACUUCUUUCAUUUAUUCAUCAACGGAGUACAAUACAGGACAGAGGGGUGAUACACUCUACCAUUACGCUAAUAUUCACAUCACCUCUCAAAAAAAAAAAAAAAUAACAACUGACA
Branchiostoma floridae (Florida lancelet) is the source of this 549-nucleotide long non-coding RNA. RefSeq lists it as uncharacterized. NCBI's taxonomy places the organism in Eukaryota, Metazoa, Chordata, Leptocardii, Amphioxiformes, Branchiostomatidae. The transcript is spliced from 3 exons. The record is from RefSeq and is a predicted model, not a curated record.